AACGAACGCUGGCGGCAUGCCUAACACAUGCAAGUCGAACGAGACCUUCGGGUCUAGUGGCGCACGGGUGCGUAACACGUGGGAAUUUGCCUCGGGGUAUGGAAUAACUCAGGGAAACUUGAGCUAAUACCAUAUAAUGUCUUCGGACCAAAGAUUUAUCGCCCUGAGAUAAGCCCGCGUAGGAUUAGCUAGUUGGUGAGGUAAAGGCUCACCAAGGCGACGAUCCUUAGCUGGUCUGAGAGGAUGAUCAGCCACACUGGGACUGAGACACGGCCCAGACUCCUACGGGAGGCAGCAGUGGGAAUAUUGGACAAUGGGCGCAAGCCUGAUCCAGCAAUGCCGCGUGCAGGAUGAAGGCCUUCGGUUGUAACUAGCUUUGUUACGGAACGGAAACGGUAGAGCUCUAAUACAG
Molecule: ribosomal RNA, 412 nt
Filed under: uncultured bacterium
Lineage: Bacteria
Description: bacterial SSU rRNA
Rfam family: Bacterial small subunit ribosomal RNA
Source: RNAcentral